This 60-nucleotide transfer RNA is filed under the name Loxodonta africana (African savanna elephant). It matches the Rfam family "tRNA". Rfam says of the family: Transfer RNA (tRNA) molecules are approximately 80 nucleotides in length. Their secondary structure includes four short double-helical elements and three loops (D, anti-codon, and T loops). Further hydrogen bonds mediate the characteristic L-shaped molecular structure. tRNAs have two regions of fundamental functional importance: the anti-codon, which is responsible for specific mRNA codon recognition, and the 3' end, to which the tRNAs corresponding amino acid is attached (by aminoacyl-tRNA synthetases). tRNAs cope with the degeneracy of the genetic code in two manners: having more than one tRNA (with a specific anti-codon) for a particular amino acid; and 'wobble' base-pairing, i.e. permitting non-standard base-pairing at the 3rd anti-codon position. Lineage: Eukaryota; Metazoa; Chordata; Mammalia; Proboscidea; Elephantidae. The record is from Rfam by way of RNAcentral.
UGUGGUUUACACAUUUGGCUGCUAACCAAAAGGCUGGCAGUUCAAAUCUGCCAGCCACUC